This 491-nucleotide ribosomal RNA is filed under the name uncultured bacterium. RNAcentral's name for it is "partial 16S ribosomal RNA". It matches the Rfam family "Bacterial small subunit ribosomal RNA", at positions 29 to 506 of the family's 1533-position model. The record is from RNAcentral.
AGUGAACGCUGGCGGUAGGCCUAACACAUGCAAGUCGAACGGCAGCACAGUAAGAGCUUGCUCUUACGGGUGGCGAGUGGCGGACGGGUGAGGAAUACAUCGGAAUCUACUUUUUCGUGGGGGAUAACGUAGGGAAACUUACGCUAAUACCGCAUACGACCUACGGGUGAAAGCAGGGGAUCUUCGGACCUUGCGCGAUUGAAUGAGCCGAUGUCGGAUUAGCUAGUUGGCGGGGUAAAGGCCCACCAAGGCGACGAUCCGUAGCUGGUCUGAGAGGAUGAUCAGCCACACUGGAACUGAGACACGGUCCAGACUCCUACGGGAGGCAGCAGUGGGGAAUAUUGGACAAUGGGCGCAAGCCUGAUCCAGCCAUACCGCGUGGGUGAAGAAGGCCUUCGGGUUGUAAAGCCCUUUUGUUGGGAAAGAAAGGCAGCAGGUUAAUACCCCGCUGUUCGGACGGGACCCAAAGAAUAAACACCGGCUAACUUCGU